CAAUAGCGUAUAUUAAAGUUGUUGCGGUUAAAAGUUCGUAGUUGGAUUUCUGCCGAAGACGACUGGUCCGCCCUCUGGGUGAGUAUCUAGCUCGGCUUGGGCAUCUUCUUGGAUAACGUAGCUGCAAUUGACUGUGUGGUGCGGUAUCCAGGACUUUUACUUUGAGGAAAUUAGAGUGUUUCUAAGCAGGCACACGCCUUGAAUACAUUAGCAUGCAAUAAUAAGAUCGGACCUCGUUUCUAUUGUGUUGGUUUCUAGAGCUGAGGUAAUGAUUAAUAGGGAUAGUUGGGGGCGAUUCGUAUUUAACUGUCAGAGGUGAAAUUCUUGGAUUUGUUAAAGACGGACUAUUGCGAAAGCAUUUGCCAAGGAUGUUUUCUAUUGACCAAGAACGAAAGACUAGGGGAGUCGAAGAUGAUCAGAUACCA
This 425-nucleotide ribosomal RNA is filed under the name uncultured eukaryote. RNAcentral describes it as "SSU rRNA". It matches the Rfam family "Eukaryotic small subunit ribosomal RNA", at positions 592 to 1017 of the family's 1831-position model. The record is from RNAcentral.